GGGCCCGUAGCUCAGCAUGGUUAGAGCGUUCGGCCCUCAAUCGAAAGGUCCGGCGUUCAAAACCCGGCUUAACGGGUGAAACUCGCCGCGGGCCCACCA
RNAcentral lists this transfer RNA (99 nucleotides) under Thermoprotei archaeon. Its description in RNAcentral is "tRNA-Glu". It matches the Rfam family "tRNA". From Rfam's summary of the family: Transfer RNA (tRNA) molecules are approximately 80 nucleotides in length. Their secondary structure includes four short double-helical elements and three loops (D, anti-codon, and T loops). Further hydrogen bonds mediate the characteristic L-shaped molecular structure. tRNAs have two regions of fundamental functional importance: the anti-codon, which is responsible for specific mRNA codon recognition, and the 3' end, to which the tRNAs corresponding amino acid is attached (by aminoacyl-tRNA synthetases). tRNAs cope with the degeneracy of the genetic code in two manners: having more than one tRNA (with a specific anti-codon) for a particular amino acid; and 'wobble' base-pairing, i.e. permitting non-standard base-pairing at the 3rd anti-codon position. The record is from RNAcentral. Lineage: Archaea; Thermoproteati; Thermoproteota; Thermoprotei.